Gossypium raimondii (Peruvian cotton) is the source of this 104-nucleotide small nucleolar RNA. It matches the Rfam family "Plant small nucleolar RNA R71". From Rfam's summary of the family: R71 is a member of the C/D box family of snoRNAs containing the C (UGAUGA) and D (CUGA) box motifs. Multiple nearly identical copies of this snoRNA have been identified in Arabidopsis, and it is thought to function as a 2'-O-ribose methylation guide for 18S ribosomal RNA. The record is from Rfam. NCBI's taxonomy places the organism in Eukaryota, Viridiplantae, Streptophyta, Magnoliopsida, Malvales, Malvaceae.
AUUCCGUGAUGAGGGAAUUUCUUUAAUAGCUCUUUAAAUCUUUCUCAUGACUCAUAGAGAUUCGUCAUCUAUUUGUUGGAAGGUCAUGAUUUCAUUCCGCAACU